AUACUGCUGUUGAUGAUGUGAAUUUUGGAAAUAUUCUCCCCUAUUGGGUCUUUCUCCAUGACAGAUGAUGUCCUUUGGCUUCGGUUUUUUGCCUAAGAACUGUAAGUGGUGCUUGCUAGCCCUACUAAGAAUCCUGCCAUUGUUGCAAAUUUCAGAAAAAAGGAGGACUGCCUAGUACUGCCAAUUCUGACAGUGAUCUGGUAAGACAUUUUCAAUUAUUUCCUCUGUAAAUGUUUUAAUAUCAGAUUAGAAAUGUGUUUCUACUUUCUAAUUUGUAACGUAAGACUUCAAAAUCUGUUUGAAAACUACUGUAGAAAGUCUGUGUUGAAGGAUAAAAUUCCCCGAUAUUUUAGAAUGGACUCUUUGCAUUCAAUUAAUUUAUUAGUUAAAGACAGUGAUUAAUGCAUCCUAAAAUAUUUAGGGAUGUAGUCUUUUCUAAUUAUUUCACUAUAGCAUAGAAGAAUUGCUAUUAAGAGUUGGCCAACAGGCCAGGUGCAAUGGCUCAUGCCUGUAAUCCCAGCACUUUGGGAGGCUGAGGCUGGAUCACUUGAGCCCAGGAGUUUGAGACCAGCUUGGGCAAAAUGGCAAAACUCUGUCUCUGCAAAAAUACAAAAAUCAGUCAGGCAUGGUGGCUUGUGCUUGUAGUCUGAGCUACUCAGAGUUGGGGGCUGAGGUGGGAUUCGCCCGGGAGAAACGAAUAGAGAGGUCUGGGUAUGCAGGGAUAUAGGGUCAGGUUACCAAGUUAGCUGAGCACAUCGGGUCCCCUGUGGAUAUUGCCACUUCAAAGAGGCUCAAAAGCUCUGAAAUUUUAUGAAGAAUUUUCUCAGGUUUGGCAGAUACGAAACUGUUGAACACUGUUAGAGAAAAAUGGGGAAAAGUAAACUAAGGCCUAUCCAAAUUAUUAUUUUGAAUUGCGUAGCUCAAGAUGAUUUGACCAUCACAUUAAAUUUGUCCAAUUAAUUUGUCACAUUAAAUUUGCCAAAUUAAAAGUGUAUCAUGUAGUGACUGAUAGUAAACUAAGUACAUGAAAUUAUGGGCAUUCAGAAGAUUUUUAAAGAACUGAUUGGUUUUACUUUGGAACAGUAACAAUGCAGUGAGGCAUCUUGGGACAAAGAUUGGAAGAGGAAGAAAGCCAGAGAAUUGAGCCUGACAUUUGGGAGCCACUUUUCCCCUUGAACAACAAUAAUAAUGGCCCUUAGGCUUUCUGCGGAAAGGAGGGUGUUUGUUUAAAAAACAAAAAGACAGAGACAUAUACAGAGACAGAGAAAAAGAAGAAAGGAAAAGCAAAAAGAUUCCAGAAAUAAAGGGGAAAAUAUAACCCUUACCAUGGAGGAAAAUUACAAUUCACUUGGAUUAACCAUAAGAAGAUUAAAAAGUCAUAUAUUGACCAAUUUUAAUGUUUUCUGGAAGAAGAAACACACCUUUUCACACUGUGAGCUGUACAGAAGCCGACUCUGUGGUUUUUGGUGUGUAAAAACAUAUAGUAAUAAUAAUUAUACCACUUUACACCUUUAUGGUGUUUUGGGUUUACAGAUUCUCCAUACAGUUAAUCUAUUUUGGGUUUACAGAUUCUCCAUACAGUUAAUCUAUUUUGAUCUUCAUACCAAACCUAUUCUAAAUUGGGGUUUAGAGGAGGUGUGAGGCUGACAAAAAGAUGUUCUGCUUUUUGUUCAGGACCUGUGCUCAGGGCUGUGUUCUCAUUUUGAGGUUGGAUUUUGUACACUCACAUUUUCAUUUAUCUCUCUAGUGCUCAAGAUAUUCACAAACUUUUUCACUGUCAGGGAUGCAUAAAAGAACAAUACUUUAUUAGAGCUAUAUUCUAAGCCAACUGGGUCGUCGUACCUUAGAUUCAAAGUUAGAUUAUGGCUCAAAAUGAAUCCUUAGCGUAUUUCUGGUGUUCAAAAAGAAUAGGUUGAAGCCGAGACGGGUGGAUCACUUGAGGCCAGGAGUUCGAGACCAACCUGGCCAACAUGGCAAAACCCCGUCUCUACUAAAAACACAAAAAAUUAGCCAGGCAUGGUGGCGUGCGCCUGUAAAUCCAGCUACCUGAGAGCCUGAGGCAGAAGAAUCGCUUGAACCUGGGAGGUGGAGGCUGCAGUGAGCCGAGAUCAUGCCAUUGCACUCUGACCUGGGUGACAGAGUUGGACUAUGUCUCAAAAAAAAAAAAAAAAAAAAAAGAAUAGGUUAUUUUAUAUUUCCUGAAUUACAUGUAGUUGUAAUGCCUUGCUCAGGAUCUUGCCUAUAGUGGCAAAGAAAUAUUGCUUAAAAUCGACUCUUGAAUUACACUAGCAUUCUGUAGGCACCAUAUCAAACAUCUAGGACAGGGGUCCUCAAUCCCCAGGCCGCUGACCGGUACCAGUCUGUGGCCUGUUAGAAACCAAGCCACACAGCAGGAAGUGAGCAGGGGGCAAGCAUUACAGCCUGAGCUCCGCCUCUUAUCAGAUCAGUGGUAGCAUUAGCUUCUCAAAGGAGUGCAAACCCUACUGUGAACUGUGCAGGUGAAGGAUCUAGCUUGCGCAUUCCUCACAAGAAUCAAUGCCUCAUGAUCUGAGGUGGAACAGUUUCAACCUGAAAUCAUCCCCCACAUCCCACCCCACCCCAGUCCCAUCUGUGGAAAAAUUGCCUUCCAUGAAACUGGUCCGUGAUGCCAAAAAGGUUGGGGACCACUGGUCUAGGACUUACCCGGCUGGAGUGCAGUGGUGCACACGCCUCACACUGUGACACAGCGGGAGAGCCCAGAGCGACAGCUGUUGGAAUGACUGCACUCUUCCUGCUCAAGUCUGACCUUUCCAAGCCUUUGUCCUAUGUCUGGAGACUUCUUGGAAGCUGGAGCACACAAAUAGCUACAGCAAACUUGAGGAAUGGGCAUGAAUAGACUGGCUUCGGGGAACCUGCCAGCUUGGCCGUGUGGCCAAGGUAAUAGGCAAGCCAAGGCAGAGCUAGAGCUCAGAGCUGGAGGGGAAAUUAAAGCAGCAAAUGUAGAAACAUUAAGCCUGAAGAGGCGACGACGUUGAAUUCUAAAAUGCAGGCCAAAGCUCAGACUGCAAGCUGUCUGGCUGCUCCGGGUGUGCCCAGAAGUCAAAGUCCAGCAGGGGCAAAGGUGGAGGUGUGGUCCUGCACGUGGGGUGUUGGGGGGAUGUGGAAGAGGAGGUGCUUUAAGAUCCAGAGAUUCCAGCUGCCCUGGUGCACCCUUGGAAGAAUAAAAGGCUAGGAACUGGACAAGUCAGGCUCGAGUCCAAGCUGCCUGAGGAAUCGGGGAAAGAAUGGAGCUCAGAGUGGGAGGUCAGGGCAGUAUUUAAAAAUCCAGGAUAGCAGCAAAGCUGGCGGUGGCCCCUGACUCUGGUAAGGGCAGCCUGCAGCACCAUGCCAAGGGGGGCCUGACUGAUCAUGCCCUGCAUUUGCAAACAAGGAUUAGUAGGGUAUGAGUAGGAUUCUGCUGGUGCCUGGGAAGGCAGUGCCAUCUACAACUUUACAAAGUUUUAACAAAGGCCUGAAGGACACAACCUUCCCCAAAGUCCUGACGUCGCUGUUUGCUGGCAACAAAUAGAGUCAAAAGAAGAGAGGCACAGAAUGUGCCAGGGGUGUGCUGCGUACAGCCCCGAUGACCACAAGGCCUUCUUGGGUCAAGUUCUGCCAUCUCUGGUUAAGAUGGGCUCACCCUCUAGGACCCUGAUUGAGUCCUCGGACCACCAAGAGUGCCCCACCAAGAGCCUCCCUCUUCUGGUGACUCGUGCCUGCUUCCCGUGGAGAGCUCCAGAAGGGAGGAAACUGUGAGGAGGUGGAGAACGUGGCAGGGAUCCUAACUUUCUUACUGAAGGAAGUUCUUCACAAGUACCCAUCUGCCUUCAGGGAAGAAAACAUAACUCAUUUUGGUCUUUCAAAUUCAGUUCUCAAAACCAAAUCCUGUUGUCAGCAAUCUGUGUCCCAACGCCUUCUUCAGCAACAGCAUUUUCCCUGUGGAAUUAGUUUCCAAUGUUCUUUCUUAAAUAAACCACUGAAGAUUAAAAGGAAUCCAGAUACCCACCACAUUUUGUUUCCUUAAUGAGUAAUUAUCACAUUUCUUUGGCUACUUAAAUGCAUUCUCUGAGUCAGGUAAAGGAGAUCGUAAUAGUUAAUCAACAAGAAGUAAUUCUUGGGUACUUAACAAUAGUCUAAGCACUUAAUCAUACUUAAAAUUGACUAUUAAUGAACCUUAUAAACCAUUUUGCAAUUCUGAAAGUGAAUUUCUCUGCAGGCUUAGAGAUUACUAAGCCAUUUAGAUCUUACCAAACAAAUAUUAUUCAUGCUUUAAUUCCUGGGAAAAGAAAUUUAGAAAAUGAGGUUAAUGUUCAGUUGUCCUUUCCUGAGUUUAACAAUUAUAUAUUCCAUCUGGGAUGCUCUGAACUCAGGUUAAACAUUCUUCAAGUUAUUCCCACAUUUUUCAAGUUAUUCCCACGUUAGUGACCUACUUUAUUAGUAUUAUUACUAAAGAAAAGGGCUGGGUGCGGUGGCCCACAUCUGUAAUCCCAGCACUUUGGGAGGCUGAAGCAGGAGGAUCACUUGAGCUUGGGAGUUCAAGACCAGCCUGAGAGGGAGACUCCGUCUCUACAAAAAAAAAAAAAUUAGCCAGGUAUGGUGGCACGCGCUCAUGGGCCCAGCUACUCAAGGAGGCUGAGGUGGGAGGAUCACGUGAACCUGGGAGGCAGAGCCUGCAGUGAGCCCUGGUUGUGCCUCUGUACUCAAGCCUGAGAGACAGAGUGAGACCCUGUCUCCAAACAAUAAAGUAAAAUAAAUAAAUAAAUAAAUAAGAAUGCAAAUCAAAGACAUUAAGAAAUAGCUUUACUUUAAUGUAGGCAUUUAAGGUAAAAUAGGUCACAUUCUCUUUUUUAAAAAAAUUACUGACCCACAGAAAAACAAGUCAAAAAGCAGACUAUUUCAUAUUAGUGUCUUUUUUUUAAAGAGGAUUAAUAUAAAUUGCCUUCUCACCUGUUUUUAAAAUAAAGGACUGAAUGAUAGAACUUAGACAACAAAUCUAGUAGCAUGAUAAAAGCCUUUCUUUGAUAGCUAGAAAAGGUAAACAAAGAAUAAAACAGGGUGAAGAAGAAAGAGGACAGAUAGAAUGUGAAUAUUAUCUACCUUUUUCUCAAGAUAAAACUAAUAUUGCUUUCUAAAAAGAAGCAAUUCUUUAGAGCAGAGGUCAGCAAACUUUUUCUAUAAAGAGCCAGAUAUUAACUAUUUUAUAAUUUGCAAACCACAUAAGUCCUCUGUUUCAUAUGGGUUUUUUUCUUUUUUCUUUUUAAACAAUACUUUAAAAAUGCUGAAAAUAUUCUUAGCUUACAUCUACAAAAAAGCAGGCAGUGGGCUGAUUUGACUCACAGGUGGUAUAGCUUGCUAAUUCCUGCUUUAGAUUUUAAGAAUGAGGCAGAUGUUGCCAGAAUUUGCUCUAAUUUACUAUGAGGUUUGCAAAUAAAAGUGCUCUUGACAUGAAAACUUGCUAUUUUUAAUGGAAAGACAUGUACAGCCCUUUCUCAGGAAGUGGAGAUUAAUGCAUAAAAUUUUAUUUUCCUAACAUAAAGCAUGUUUUUUCAAAAAAUGGCUUCUCCAUCUUGUGGCCCUUUGAUUAUGAUAGCUCUGAAAGCUUUGAAAAGCUUGCAAAUACUCAACUUCAGGAAUAAAACCACCUAUGAGACCCUCACCUGAAGGCAGGAUCUUUCCUGCAGCCUUGAGUCUUCCUAAUCAGAACCAUUGUUUCGUAAACUGGACUCCGAAGACAACACUUAAAGUCACUCAAGUUCGCUACAAAAUUCUUGUUUUGUGUUUUCAUUUCUAAAGACAAUAAAAAUAAUUGAUAUGAUCAAGUUUGGGAUUAUCUAGAUGAUCUAGACAACUAUUGCGGUCAAAAUAGGCCUGAUCACAGGCAUUUUCAGUACCCAUGGAAUUCUAGAGCUUUGGAUACUUGUCUAGUCUGUUUGGGUCACUAUAACAAAAUGCCAUAAACUGGGUGCUUAUAAAGAACAGAAUUUUAUUUCCCACAGUUCUGCAGGCUGGGAAGUCCAAAAUCGAGGCAGAUUUGAUGUCCUCAAGUGAUGGAAGAAUCAAGAGGUCUCUCUGGGGGCUCUUUUAUAAGGGCACUAACCCCAUUCAUGAGAGCAGAGCCUAAUUACCUCCCUAAGGCCCCAACUCCUAAUACUAUCACCUUGAGGGUGAGGAGGGAAACAUAAAAAUACCAUAGUAAUACUAAUAGGUACAUCAGUGAAGAACAAUAUCACAGUAUCGUGUAGACAGGAAGAUUUUGCUGCAAUUUGGUUGUUAAAACAAAAAGUCGUGGGUGGAUACAAUCAUCAGACAGUUCAGAAGUGGCAUCCACGUACUCACCCAAAGGAGGUGCACUGCAGUUGUGGGAGCCCUGUGCUUGCUACUAGCAGUGACUUAAUUUCUGCAAAGCUAUGUGAUCACAUUCAACUAUGCUAGUUAACUUUAAUUUUACUGAAUUUGGUUUAGGUAGGUAGUUUGUAAAUUUAACUUUCUACUUGUAUAAGAAGUAUAAUUAUAAAAACAGCAGGUCAGCACGACAGGUCUGAGAGAAUCUGUAUUCUGUAAAAAAAUACCUAUUUCUUACUUGGCGAAAAACAUUAGUCAAUGUUGCACCAAAAACCCCCCAAAAGCUAUAGAUCAGAUAUUGACUAAAAUGAAUAUACAAAAAUCUUGACUGGAAAUAUUUUAAGUCAAAACUAACAGCCUAUUUCAGGUAUUGACAGAACAAAUUCCAGAAGCAGAAUAACUGAAACAAUCAUGUUGAAAUUAAUUAUAAUGGGCAGAAUUUGACUGAAACUUGUUACCACCUUCACCAAAAUAUAGCCUUUCUUAUACUAUCAAAUGUAUUGAAUAAAUUGUGAGCACUUUCUUGUACAACUUCUAAAAAUUUAGCUUUGCUUUUGUUAUCUGAAUAUUGUACAGGAAUAUGAGCAUGCAAAUAAGAUCUUUGUUUAGUUUCAAGUCUUUUUAUAACUAAAUCUGCUGGCAUUAGACAAUAAAUACAUUUUCAAAAUAUGAAUAGUCUCUCAUUUGAUUCAAAUUAGAUGAGUUGUUUUGCAUGUUUCUUAUCAAUUAUGCAAUUAUUGUCUUAGUUUAAAUAUAAUCUAAUAGCUGACGCUGCAUUCAUAUGCUAUGCUGGAUUCCUAGCUAAAAUGAAAUCAGUAUGCUAGUAAAAUAUUUUUCAUACAUGUUAUUUGGAACUUUGCUUCUCAAUUCUAUAACAAGAAUUCCCUUUGGUAUCUGUAUUUUUUUUCCCUUGUGUGUUAAUAUGCAUAUAAUCUUUCUUUGUUUACCUACCUUUUUAAGGUAGGUUAAAGGGAUAAAAGCAGUAACUCAUAUGUUUUGGUCUCAGGCCACCUUUACACUUUUAAGAAUUGUUGUCUGGGUGCGGUGGCUCACGCCUGUAAUCCCAGCACUUUGGGAGGCCAAGGUGGAUGGAUCACCUGAGGUCAGGUGUUCGAGACCAGCCUGGCCAACAUGGCAAAACCCUGUCUCUACUAAAAACACAAAAAAAUUAGCCAGGCAUGGUGGCACGUGCCUGUAGUCCCAGCUACUUGGGAGGCUGAGGCAGGAGAAUCACUUGAAUCUGGGAGGCGGAGGUUGCAGUGAGCGGAGCUUGCGCCAUUGCACUCCAGCCUCGGCAACAAGAGCGAUACUCUAACUCAAAAAAAAAAAAAAAGAAUUGUUGAGAAACUCAAAGAGGUUUCGCUUACAUGGAUUAGGUCUAUUGCUAUUUACCAUAAUAUAAAUUAAAACUGAAAAGUUUACAAAUAUUUUAAUGCAUUUAAAAUAAUAAUAAAACUCAUUACAUGUCAACAUAAAUAACACAUUUUCUGAAAAGUAAUUAUAUUUUCCAAAGCAAAAAUAGAAAUAUGCUUUUAUUUUACAUUUUUGCAGAUCUCUUUUAUACCUGGCUUAAAAGAAGAUAGCCAGAUUUUAAUUUCUCUUUCUGCGCUCAAUUUAUUGUAUUAUUUUGCUUUGGUUUAAGUAUAUGGAGAAAAUCUUGUUUCACACAAAUGUGUAGAUGGAAAAGAAAACAGUAUUUAACAGCAUUUUCAAAUAAUUAAUUAUGGAUGUUCUUCUUUGAUACUAUACUAAAACUCAGCAAGUGAUAGCUUCUUACAGGUUUGUUACAACAUGAUAUCUGAAACUGUAUCAAUAAAAAUUUCAUACUCUGUUACAUCAAAAUUCACUGGUCUAAAAAAAUUCAUUGAUCUAUUUGGUGCUUGAGACAGACAUUUGACUCAUGACUUUUGUAAUAUUAAGUAUUGGUCAUCUGGAAAAUUUGGUUCCAUAAGAUAUGCAGAUCUUGUUAAUGUUGAUCUAUGUCACUAUGCAAUAUCAAAAAUCACAUCUGUUAAUAUCA
Molecule: long non-coding RNA, 8380 nt
Filed under: Homo sapiens (human)
Lineage: Eukaryota; Metazoa; Chordata; Mammalia; Primates; Hominidae
Description: non-protein coding LINC01010:15
Source: RNAcentral